UUGACUAGAUUUUUUUAUAUACUCGCCUUUUGUCGUUUUAACAUUGACUCUAAAAAUCUGCGUUGAGUACGCCUCAUAACAAAAUUUGAGACCUAAAGACCAUGGAUUUGCUUUAACUCGAAGGAAAUACUGGAUGGAUUGUACGGACUCAUGCUUAUCAAUUUGUAUGCCCAUUCAAGCUGUGAGUGUGAAUAUUUCGGCUUGUAUGGUCAUGAAAAAAUAUCAUCACAAAGUCAAUAUUUGUAGGAUUUUUGCAUGGUAAGUAUGAUUUUUAGAUUUGUCAUCAAAUACACAUUCGAUCGUAACUCAAAUCAUGAAGAAUAAACAUUUUCCAUGUGCUUUUCUGUCAUUCUUCGUUUGGUCGUUGAAGGGUUCGGACGUGUUUUUCGAAGCUCUCGACGUCGUGACCUAAUUAUAAUUUGAACUGCGCGGGUAAAGAACGCUCAUUUGCGGCUUGGACAUUGACCAAUACGGACGUGUUUUUAAAGCGCUCUGAAAAAAGUUUUGACUUUUAAAUUUUUUUACUACGACAGAAUCUUAGUUGACUGAUGGUCUUUGACAAAGACAGACUUGUUUUUGUGAGCUCUGAACAAAAUUUGACUUUGAAAUAUUUUUACGAUUAAAAAGUUUCAGUUGACUUUUGAACGUUGACGAAGACGGACGUACUUUCGUGAGCUCUGACUAUUGAUGAAAAGUUUUCGCGUUAUAGAAUAGCGACUUGGUACUCAGGUUGUUGAAUGACUGGAUGACUGUAGUGUUAGGUUAUUGUUAUGAGAUAACAACUUGACUUUGACUUGAGUUGUGAAAUAAAAUCAUACUGAUACUCUUGAACGUUUAGUAUGGACUGACAACGAACUUUUGUGAGCGUUAUAUAUGAAAUGUUUGACUUACAUUAAUUUUUUUGAACGACUUGACUUCAAUUUAAGUUUUGACAUCGGACUGAUCGGACGUGUUUUUUUAAGCCCUGACUGUUGUGAAUAAUUAAAUUUAUGUUGUGGUGUCAAGCGAUUGACUGUCAGUUGAGGUUCAGAUGUCGAGCUGUGCGGACGUGUUCAUCGAGCUGCUGUCUACAAAAAACGGGGCUGUGGUGAGUAUUGUAGAAUAAAUUUAUUGUAUUAUGGAAUAAAUUAACGAUGCUAAAUGAAAACUGUUAUUGUACACUUUGUAUGGAUAAACGUGUAUGACCACUCUGUCGGUUGGUUUUCAUGAAAGCAUAAAUUAUGUGAAUGAUGAUAUGAAGGGUAGAAUUCAUCAGUGCUUGUGUCUAGAAAUGCUGAAUGUUUAUUGAAAAGGCUAAAUGCUAGCCAGUACUAAGAGUUGAGCUACCGUGGGAAUGUGAAACGAACUGAUGGUGUAAUAUGAUGGUGUAUUGACAUACUUUUCUUAUAUGUACUAAAUAUGAUAUUGCUUUACUUGUAUUUGCAUGCUGUUAACAUUUUUAUUUUGUUCCAGUGUGCUGUGGUGAGUACUGUAGAUAUUACUUGAUUUUUAGUGUCUAUGAAUGCUGAUGUAUGAUAGCUAUAGCAUGAGCUCAAUGCUAACCAGUAUUAUGAGUUGAUGUAUUGUGGUGAUGCUAAUCGAACUGAUGAUGUAACAUGAUGGUGAACACUUACUGAAUGCAUAAAAUUUAUUGAAUUGCGUUUGUUGAUAUGCACUAUAAUAUGAUAAAUGUAUUGCUUAACAUGUAUAUUUCAUGAUGUUUAAUUUCAGUGGGCUGUGGUGAGUACUGUAGAUUGUAUUGCCUAUGUAUAGAAUUCAAUAAAAGAUUAUGACUGAAAACUGCUUUUGAUUCUUUUUGAACAGUUUUAGGGACUAUAAGUCUAUAACAAAAAUAUGUCGGUUGGCGUUCAUACAGCAAUGUUUUGAGUAGUACAGAAAUGUUUCUACGUUUGUGGUCGCCAGUUGUCUGUGAUGUGUAAAGUGAAAAAUACACGGAGCUUUGAAUACAACAAACAUUUACUGUUUUAACACAGAUUGUGUGCUAUGCAUUUUUCGAUGUAGAUCUUUUUCAGAUUUGACAUGAAAUGUAGACCUGACAUUUGAACAGAGCUGGGAAACGAAAAGGUAAGUUUGUUAAAUUUCACAAUGAACACUUGUGUUUUGACAAAAGAAGAGAUAAAGUGAGUUUUGUCAUCAUCAUGGUUUCUUUCAGAGUAUAACUCGUGAACAGAUGAAAACCUAUUUUUUGCUAGAUUUUCAUGUACUCUUUUUUUGGAUGAUAAGUAUGUCAGUAACUCAAAAUCAUACGGCUAGUACAGUAUGGAACAUGAAUGCUUUGUUCAGAUUUUCAGAUGUGUGCUGGCAGUUUAAGUCUGGCAGCUGAAGUGAACAGUCGUGUUUUCUGGAGCUCCAACAAUAUGCUAGAAGGUAAGUAACUAUGUUUGUUUUGCAUUGCAUGUUUUUAUAUGUUUCAGACUUUCAAGCAGAGAUGUCAUGCUGACUGGAGUUGAGCACAGGGCAGUGACAAAGUGAAAGGUAAGUACUUUUGACUGAAUGUUUGUUCUAUGCAUGUUUUGUUUCAAUACAUUUCAGGAGUGCUUAUCCAGUGAUGAUAUGACAGUUGGAGUGAACAGUGGAGCCAAGCAGUCUUGUUUUUGGAGCUACUCAACAAGCCUUGAAGGUAAGUUUAGAAUUUCUCAAUGUUAGUGAAUUGAAGUACUGUCACUUGCUUUUGGACAGUCGAACAGAACAGACGUGGUUGCGAGAGCUCUCAUAUCUGUUGUGUUAAACUGUUUUUAUGAUAUGUUAUGUUUGUUUGUUUGUUUGUGAUGUACUAUUUUUCAGAUGCUGAUGGCAGUGAUGGGUUUUCAAGCUGACCUGAACAGAAAAGCACUCAUAUGGUAAGUACAAAAUAGUUGUUAUAUGGGAUGUUUUGUGCAUGCUUUUAUGUUUCAGGUGUACUUGCUGACAGCGACGAAGACGAAUCAAGAAGAGGAACAUUGUUGAGAAAGUGAUUGGGACUUGCAAACAGGAUUCGAGUCACUGGUUUACACAUGGAAGAAGAUUUCCACGUCUGUUACUCAACUCUACAGAAGCAAGGUAAGUCGAUCAAAUUUUUGUUUUCAUUUGUACUGCUGUAAUGUGAUGGUAAACUUAUGCUAUUUUUCAUGUGUGUCAUGUACAGAUGGAUAAUUCAAGUUUGAUCUGUGUUGGUUUAUGUUCAAAAACGUUUUACAUGUAUGUGUGUUUGAAGAUGUUUUGUUUCAGUGGAUGUCCAGAUGGCAAGCAGAACAGACGUGUUUCUUGGAGCUGCCAAACAGUGAGUACAAACGUUUUAUAUUUUUCAGUUGUUUACUCAUAGAAGUCUGUGAAAGAUGAUAACAAGGGUUGAAUCUAUCAGUACUUGUGUCUAAAAAUGCUGAUGUGUGAUGGUUUACUGAAAAGGGUUAAUGCUAGCCAGUAACACUUGAGCAACCGUGGGAUGUCGAACUAACUGAUGAUGUACUAUGAUGGUGAACACUUACUAUGUGUAUCGAAAUGCUUUUGUUGAUAUUUACUAUAGAUGAUUUGAUAUUGGUUAACAUUUGUUUGCAUGCUGUUAACAUUUCUAUUUCAUUUCAGUGAGCUGUGGUGAGUAUUAUAGAAUAAGUUUUUCUCAAUACACGAUGAUGAAUGAAAACUGAUGUCGAUUCUUUUUGUACAGUUUUAGGUAUUAGCACUCUAUACAAAACUAUGUCGGUCGGUGUUUGUGAAUGUGAGCUUAAUGUUUGAGUAGUACAAAAAUGUCUUUACUUUUGUGAUCGCCAGUUGUCUGUGAUAUGUAACGUAAACAAAAAACACAGCUAUGAAGCAUACAAUUGUUUCGAAAUUUUAUCAAUGAUUGUAUACUAUGCAUGUUUUGAUUUAGUUCGUUUCAGAUAUGACAUGACAUGAAGAGUUGACAGUCGAACAGAGCUGAGCAAUGCAGAAAGGUAAGUGUGUUUCAUUUUAGUAUGAACACUUGUAUUUUGUUUUUAUAUGGUAUGUUUUGUGCAUGCUAUGUUUCAGGUGUACUUGUAGUCAGCGACGAAGACGAUUCAAGAAGAGGAACAUUGCUGAGAAAGUGAAUGGGACUUGCAAACAGGGUAAGUGUUACAAUUGUUCUUUUGAUUUUUGCCAUGCAUACUUUGCUUUGCUCUGUUUCAGAUUUCACAUGCAGAAAUGGUCUCAUAGCAGUGCCAACAGUGAAUAAGGAUUUCAGCUGCUGUGAAACAACUCAACAGAAAGUAGGUAAGCAUUGAAUAAAUGCACUUGAGUUGUACAAUUUGAUGUGAUGCUUUUCUCUGUUUCAGAUUCAAGUUCCUGGUGUAGACAGAGAAAUGUGUUUGAAGAAGGAAUUCUACUACUGUGAUUCAACUCUACAGAAGCAAGGUAAGUAGAAACAAAAUUUUGGUUUAAUUUAACUCAUGUGUUUUGCACUGCAUGCUAUUUUUUAGGUCUCUCAUGCAGUGAGGGAAAAGAAGAAGAUUUCAAGAAAAAAUCACUGCUGCAACUCAGGCCGAUAACAAGGUAAGCGUUUACUAUAUUGUAUACAAAAUGUUUUUCUGUUUUACUCUGUUUCAGGUUUCAAUUGCAGAGAUGUUGCAGAGAUGAUUUGACAGCUUGUGACAGAAAAGAAAUUCAGCAGCUGUGUCUCGACUCUAGCCACGAGGUAAGUCAAAACAAAUAUACUGGUUUGUAUGUAAUGUUGUUAUGCCAUUCUAUGUUUCAGACUUACAUUGCUGUGACUGUUCCACAGUGGGUCAAAAAAGAGACGAAUACAGGUUUCAAGAAGAAAAUUGGCUGUUGAAAACCUGCACAAAAUAUGAGGUAAGUAAACUAUUCUUUUGGUUUGUUUUGUGCUUUGUUAUGCUUAACUAUUUUUCAGAUUGGAAUGGUGGGUCGUUACAGAGCAGACUUUUGGACAACUGAGAAGUUGAGAAACAGAGAAUGAUUCAAGAUCAGCUAGGUAAGUCUUGAUUAUUGUGCAUUGCUAAAUGUUUUUUUCAUUCCAGUAUGGCUGUGGUAAGUACACAAACUUUCUAUAAUUUAAUAUUGAACUGUUUUUAUGACCUGUAUUCUGCAUUGUAAAAUGUCUGUUUUUCAUUUCAGUAUCCUGUGGUAAGUACAAUUGCCUUCUUUAAUUUUCAUAUUGAACUGUUUUGAUGACUUGUAUACUACUAUGCAAUGCUUAAUGUUUUUUUCAUUUCAGUAGCCUGUUGGUAAGUACACUAACUUUCUAUAAUUUCAUAGUGAAUUGUUUUGAUGACCUGUAUUCUGCAUUGUAAAAUGUGUUUCUUUUUUAUUUCAGUAUGGCUGUGGUAAGUACAAUUGCCUUUUAUAUUGAACUGUUUUGAUGACCUGUAUUUUGCAUUGUAAAAUGUGUUUCUUUUUCAUUUCAGUAUGGCUGUGGUAAGUACACAAACUUUCUUUAAUUUUCAUAUUGAACUGUUUUGAUGACUUGUAUUCUACUAUGCAAUGCUUAAUGUAUUUUUUUCAGUAGCCUGUUGGUAAGUACAAUUGCCUUCUUUAAUUUUCAUAUUGAACUGUUUUGAUGACUUGUAUUCUGCUAUACAAAAUGUGCUUUUUUCAAUUUCAGGUCAGCAAUGGUAAGUAUAGUGUGUUUCUUUAUGUAUAAUUUUGUAUACAUAUUGUUUUUUUUCAUCAUAUCAUGUCUUUCAUAUUUAUGCUUUGUGUAAGUAAAAUGUUCAUAAAUCAUUCUUAUCUUCAAACUAAAAAUGUAUUGUGCUAUGCAAAAUGUCUGUAUGAUUUUAGUUGCCAGAGGUGAGUACCAUAACAGUUGAAAAGUUAGUUUUGUUUAGUUCAAGUUUUGGUUCACAGUUCUGUUUGUUAUUUGGCAAAAUUUACAUGUCUGCAUUGAGUCUUGAUUUCAGCUCGAUUGUGGACUGAAGAAGAUUGCCCGCAGAGGGAUUGGAUACAAAAUACAAAGUAAGUACUGAGUUUCUUACUAAAAGUUUUGAGUUGUAUUCAUUGUGUGUUAAUAUGCUAUGAUUGCUAUGAACAUGACUUUUGUAUUUCAGCGAAGACAACAUAGGUAAGUAAAAUUGUUAUCUGUUUCAUGUUUACUGUUACAGUUCAAUAUUGUGUUUAUAAAUUGUAAGUUGUACAAACACAUUCAAAAGUUUCUGAUCAUGCUUUCGAUUUCAUUUCAGCUUUACUGCUGGACGAGUGUUCUCUACUACUUGACGAGUCAGCUUUACUACCAGGCGAGCAGUGACAACAAGGCGCCUUUGUGGAAACAACACAACAAAAAACUCUACUGCAAGACGAGCAGUGACAGCAAGGCGCCUGAACAUGCAACACAAAACAAAAAAUGCCAAUUUGCAAACCUUGAUGUGGACACCGAGUAGUCAAUACAUACGUGUGGCGUAUAGCUGCGACAAAACCGUGGGUCCAUCGCACCGAUAACUUGAACAUUGGCCCGUGUAUGGACAUCAGUGCAACUUUGUGAAUCCAUGUAACUUUGUGAAUCCAUGUAACAUUGCGAAUGUGUGUCGAUCGAAAAAUGUGUACAUUCUGCACUGAAACGAACUCGGUGUUGCAAGUGGCAAGUGUUGACAGUGUGUAUGUUUAUGUUUAUGUUUUUACAUGAAAAAUAAAGGAGAUUGUUCUCCUACCUUUUUUUUCCUUGUUUUAUUGUGCUGGCCAGCAAUAUUGAUGUAUUGAUGUAUUGAUGUAUGUGUUUGUGUAUUAACGAUGUAUUAACUAUGCAUUACCAAAAUCAAACAAAACUUUGGCACAAGAGACUCUAAGUAUCAAAUACCAACAAUUUAAGCGCAGACAAUCACAUGGUGGUACACCAGUCCGAAUAUACUCAUUGCUCUAGCCAGGAUUGCAAAUUACUUGUGUUGACUAGCAAGGCUCCCUAGUAACGGAGCAGUGUUACUGGCGUUUUUUGGGUCGAUAGUGCUUAGGUGAGGUUUUGCUCGAAUCGGGAGCGGGUCACUCGCUUGGGCGAGUUAGUUUUCGCUCGUAGUUUCCAAUCUGGCUAGAUCACUGUAAGGUUGUUUUGACUGCUAUUUGGCAAGCAGAAAAACAACAGCGGUUAAUUGACUGAGUAUGGGCGACCGAGGUAUGUAGGUGUCAAUAGACCGACUCCACAAGUUGCGAAGCGAACCGAUAGCACUUGAGGGGAAACGCCUCGGUUUUCGGUUCUAACAUGUGUUAUCCAUGCUGUCGUUACACUCUGGCAAGGCUCCUCAAUCUAUCGCGAGGGACACUCAUAAUUGCCCGCAAGCUUUAGAAUCUGACGUGGGUCGAUGCGUAUGCGAGUCCGAGGACGCGAUGGCAUUUGAUAAGGCUACCAACCAGUUGAUAACACGCAUUGUUCAAAUUGUUAGGUUUAAGUCUGCUAGGGCUGGGGUGGGAA
Dreissena polymorpha is the source of this 7348-nucleotide long non-coding RNA. RefSeq lists it as uncharacterized. The transcript has 5 exons. NCBI's taxonomy places the organism in Eukaryota, Metazoa, Mollusca, Bivalvia, Myida, Dreissenidae. The record is from RefSeq and is a predicted model, not a curated record.